UUGUAUUUUCUAACAGUACUUUUGUGUGCCGCUUUCAAACAUUUACUUCAAAACUGUUUUAAAUUAGAAUCAUUUGUGAACUGAAACUAAUGAAGACAAUACGGCCAACAACGGAGGGAAAGGAAGACAAUGCAAUGAAGCACUGAGGUGGUCCGGCAGCUGGAAUAAGACUCACCUGAGCCUGUUGGGCAAAGCGUGCAUUCGUUGAUACCCCAGGCUUUCCCGAUCCCCCGGCAGCACAUCUCUUGACUCCGCAGACCAGGCAGAGGAGAACUGCACUGUGGGACAGAAAGAAGACGUAUACGUUCAUUUACUACAUUCACUAGAAGUAUUCACUAUGUAUUUUGUAAACAGUUAUGAGUUUCGAAGUUGAAAGUUGUUGAACUAUUUAUAUUCUCUUGUGGGACUUUAUCUAUAUGUUAAAAUCUAAACUUAUGUAAUUUAUUCAUGUUUAUUUUUUUAUAUGUAUAAACAUAAAUUGCAUCAAAGUGUUUUAUAUGGCGUUUUAUUGUUCAUUGAAAAUUAAAAUAUUGCAAGUUUUUAUGGAUUCCUUUUGUAUUGCAUUUCGAUCCUUAAUAAAACUUAAACUUUUGAUUCUUA
Molecule: long non-coding RNA, 600 nt
Organism: Triplophysa dalaica
Lineage: Eukaryota; Metazoa; Chordata; Actinopteri; Cypriniformes; Nemacheilidae
Exons: 2
Source: RefSeq, a predicted model, not a curated record